UAGGGAGGUCAGGGCCAGGAGCCCCCCCCCCCUGAGCCCAGGGUAACGCUUAAGUUGGGGGGCA
Rattus norvegicus (Norway rat) is the source of this 64-nucleotide non-coding RNA. The record is from Rfam. Lineage: Eukaryota; Metazoa; Chordata; Mammalia; Rodentia; Muridae.